UGCAGCUGUGUCAAAUUCAGUGCCUGCCCUGCCAAUGGCAGGCACUGGCCCAGAAGGCUGCCAUAGAAACCCUGUGACCCAUGGGCCCUGUUCCCCUUGCUCGGGCUCAGGGAUAAAUUUGGUCACAGACACCA
This is a small nucleolar RNA of Jaculus jaculus (lesser Egyptian jerboa), 134 nucleotides long. Ensembl annotates it as predicted gene, 24313. The record is from Ensembl. Lineage: Eukaryota; Metazoa; Chordata; Mammalia; Rodentia; Dipodidae.